GUAAUAGCUCACUGGUCGAGUCGGCCUGCGCGGAAGAUGUAACGGGGCUAAACUAUGCACCGAAGCUGCGGCAGCGAUAUGUAAAUAUUGUUGGGUAGGGGAGCGUUCUGUAAGCCUGUGAAGGUGUGCUGUGAGGCAUGCUGGAGGUAUCAGAAGUGCGAAUGCUGACAUAAGUAACGAUAAUGCGGGUGAAAAACCCGCACGCCGGAAGACCAAGGGUUCCUGUCCAACGUUAAUCGGGGCAGGGUGAGUCGACCCCUAAGGCGAGGCAGAAAUGCGUAGUCGAUGGGAAACGGGUUAAUAUUCCCGUACUGGUGAUAAUUGCGAUGGGGGGACGGAGAAGGCUAGGCUAUCCGGGCGACGGUUGUCCCGGUUUAAGGAUGUAGGCAGGUGAAUUAGGCAAAUCCGGUUCAUUAUAUGCUGAGGUCCGAUGACGAGUCACUACGGUGAUGAAGUAGCUCAUGCCCCGCUUCCAGGAAAAGCCUCUAAGCUCUAGAUUAUCAUUAAUCGUACCCCAAACCGACACAGGUGGUCAGGUAGAGAAUACUCAGGCGCUUGA
RNAcentral lists this ribosomal RNA (559 nucleotides) under Providencia rettgeri. Its description in RNAcentral is "partial 23S ribosomal RNA". It matches the Rfam family "Bacterial large subunit ribosomal RNA", at positions 1134 to 1693 of the family's 2925-position model. Lineage: Bacteria; Pseudomonadati; Pseudomonadota; Gammaproteobacteria; Enterobacterales; Morganellaceae. The record is from RNAcentral.